RNAcentral lists this ribosomal RNA (774 nucleotides) under uncultured Neocallimastigales. RNAcentral's name for it is "partial large subunit ribosomal RNA". It matches the Rfam family "Eukaryotic large subunit ribosomal RNA", at positions 23 to 644 of the family's 3401-position model. Lineage: Eukaryota; Fungi; Neocallimastigomycota; Neocallimastigomycetes; Neocallimastigales. The record is from RNAcentral.
AGAGAGAGACAUGCGCGCAUAUCAAUAAGCGGAGGAAAAGAAACUAACAAGGAUUCCCUUAGUAACGGCGAGUGAAGCGGGAAGAGCUCAAAUUUGAAAUCUUCAAGGUUCUACCUUGACGAAUUGUAGUUUAUAGAAGUGUUUUCUGUUAGUGGAGUGGCAAAAGUUCUUUGGAAUAGGACAUCAUAGAGGGUGAGAAUCCCGUAUUUGGUCAUUCCUCCUAGCGUUGUGAUACACUUUCAACGAGUCGGAUUGUUUGGGAAUGCAGUCCAAAAUGGGUGGUAAAUUUCAUCUAAAGCUAAAUAUUGGCGAGAGACCGAUAGCGAACAAGUACCGUGAGGGAAAGAUGAAAAGAACUUUGAAAAGAGAGUUAAACAGUACGUGAAAUUGUCAAAAGGGAAGCGUUUGACACCAGUGUUGUUUUUCCGAAAAUCAAUUACGAAUGUUUUGUUUUUGAGGAGUUAUGACUUCAUCGGCUUGCUCCUUUCUUUACGAAACUUUCUUAAUGCACUUUUCGGUUAACAAGUCAACAUCAAUUUCUUUUGUUGUAAAAGGGUAUGAGGAAGGUGGCUUUCUUUUCGGAGAAAGUGUUUAUAGCCUUGUGCCUCUGCAAUCGGAGAGAUUGAGGUCUGCAGCGUAGAUCCCUCGGGGUUAGAUACGUUUGUGCUAAGUUAUAGCUUUUCAUAGACAACUUGUUGACUAUGUUUAGUCUUGUAGCUUACUCGCUGACGCUAUUUUACCUACGCUUAGGAUGUUGAUAGUCACAGCGUGUAC